UCAAAGAUUUCUUCUGUUUAACUGCCAUGCAAACUGAUCAGCAGCCAUUACAGCACUCGAGACCGCUCCAAUUGAACCGUCAUACAUGCCUCCAAGAUG
Rhodamnia argentea is the source of this 99-nucleotide long non-coding RNA. RefSeq lists it as uncharacterized. The transcript has 3 exons. Lineage: Eukaryota; Viridiplantae; Streptophyta; Magnoliopsida; Myrtales; Myrtaceae. The record is from RefSeq and is a predicted model, not a curated record.